This 1336-nucleotide ribosomal RNA is filed under the name Microbacterium arborescens. Its description in RNAcentral is "bacterial SSU rRNA". It matches the Rfam family "Bacterial small subunit ribosomal RNA", at positions 78 to 1428 of the family's 1533-position model. Lineage: Bacteria; Bacillati; Actinomycetota; Actinomycetes; Micrococcales; Microbacteriaceae. The record is from RNAcentral.
GCUUGCUCUGUGGAUCAGUGGCGAACGGGUGAGUAACACGUGAGCAAUCUGCCCCUGACUCUGGGAUAAGCGCUGGAAACGGCGUCUAAUACCGGAUACGAGCUGCGACCGCAUGGUCAGUAGCUGGAAAGAAUUUCGGUCAGGGAUGAGCUCGCGGCCUAUCAGCUUGUUGGUGAGGUAAUGGCUCACCAAGGCGUCGACGGGUAGCCGGCCUGAGAGGGUGACCGGCCACACUGGGACUGAGACACGGCCCAGACUCCUACGGGAGGCAGCAGUGGGGAAUAUUGCACAAUGGGCGAAAGCCUGAUGCAGCAACGCCGCGUGAGGGAUGACGGCCUUCGGGUUGUAAACCUCUUUUAGCAGGGAAGAAGCGAAAGUGACGGUACCUGCAGAAAAAGCGCCGGCUAACUACGUGCCAGCAGCCGCGGUAAUACGUAGGGCGCAAGCGUUAUCCGGAAUUAUUGGGCGUAAAGAGCUCGUAGGCGGUCUGUCGCGUCUGCUGUGAAAACCCGAGGCUCAACCUCGGGCCUGCAGUGGGUACGGGCAGACUAGAGUGCGGUAGGGGAGAUUGGAAUUCCUGGUGUAGCGGUGGAAUGCGCAGAUAUCAGGAGGAACACCGAUGGCGAAGGCAGAUCUCUGGGCCGUAACUGACGCUGAGGAGCGAAAGGGUGGGGAGCAAACAGGCUUAGAUACCCUGGUAGUCCACCCCGUAAACGUUGGGAACUAGUUGUGGGGUCCAUUCCACGGAUUCCGUGACGCAGCUAACGCAUUAAGUUCCCCGCCUGGGGAGUACGGCCGCAAGGCUAAACCUCAAAGGAAUUGACGGGGACCCGCACAAGCGGCGGAGCAUGCGGAUUAAUUCGAUGCAACGCGAAGAACCUUACCAAGGCUUGACAUAUAGAGGAAACGUCUGGAAACAGUCGCCCCGCAAGGUCUCUAUACAGGUGGUGCAUGGUUGUCGUCAGCUCGUGUCGUGAGAUGUUGGGUUAAGUCCCGCAACGAGCGCAACCCUCGUUCUAUGUUGCCAGCACGUAAUGGUGGGAACUCAUGGGAUACUGCCGGGGUCAACUCGGAGGAAGGUGGGGAUGACGUCAAAUCAUCAUGCCCCUUAUGUCUUGGGCUUCACGCAUGCUACAAUGGCCGGUACAAAGGGCUGCAAUACCGUGAGGUGGAGCGAAUCCCAAAAAGCCGGUCCCAGUUCGGAUUGAGGUCUGCAACUCGACCUCAUGAAGUCGGAGUCGCUAGUAAUCGCAGAUCAGCAACGCUGCGGUGAAUACGUUCCCGGGUCUUGUACACACCGCCCGUCAAGUCAUGAAAGUCGGUAACACCUGAAGCC